Molecule: long non-coding RNA, 190 nt
Organism: Cottoperca gobio
Lineage: Eukaryota; Metazoa; Chordata; Actinopteri; Perciformes; Bovichtidae
Exons: 3
Source: RefSeq, a predicted model, not a curated record
GCAGACCACACAUUGAACACCUUGGAGCGGAGUGCGUAGCAAAUGGAGGAAGUACCUUCAGCUGAAGCAGCACUUUUACAUGGCUUAUGCGUACUGCUAUAAUGGACAGACACUGCUGGCGAGUGACAAGUGUGGUGAGGCUAUACGAUCUCUCCAGGAGGCAGAAAAGUCUUCUUCUUCACAAUACCCC